RNA transcript from Oncorhynchus tshawytscha (Chinook salmon), 3498 nucleotides. It is a transcript of the gene named peptidyl-prolyl cis-trans isomerase-like 4, with no coding region annotated. NCBI's taxonomy places the organism in Eukaryota, Metazoa, Chordata, Actinopteri, Salmoniformes, Salmonidae. The transcript is spliced from 4 exons. The record is from RefSeq and is a predicted model, not a curated record.
AACGACAGAUUUGUACCUUGUCAGCUCGGGGGUUUGAACUCGCAACCUUCCGGUUACUAGUCCAACGCUCUAACCACUAGGCUACGCUGCCACCCCUCAUCAAAGGAAAGGUGAAUGAUUUUCUCAAUACCUGAACAAAAGUAGUUGUGAUGUUACUUUAGAUUUUUUGAUGUCAUGUACUGUACACCUUUUGUUGAUUUGCAAAGUCAAACCCUCUUUGGUGUGCAGAGUGGUCGUAUUGGAGCAGAGGAAGUGAUCAACGACACAGAUGGUAAGGAGGCUGAGGAGCUCUGGAUGAGCUGCUGAAGGAGGAGGUGGCCAAGACCCAGGCCAUCCUUCUGGAGAUGGUGAGAUGGGGGUCAUGUGGUUCUGUCCACCUAGCCUUGUAGAGGAUGCGCAUACUUUCAGGCGCGAUGGCAGAGCAGAUUUUGUAACACUCCACAUUACCACUUUGUGUACUGAUUGAUGUUGAAGAACCCAACACUAGUUAAUUAGCUGGUAAACAUAUUAGUGUUGUAAAGAUUAUAUGGUGGUUUUAUGAGAGUUUUGUGGUUUGAGACGUUGUCGUGUGUAUGUGCUUGUGUAGGUGGGUAAUCUUCCUGAUGCGGAAGUGAAACCUCCGGAGAAUGUUCUGUUUGUGUGUAAGCUGAACCCUAUGACUAUAGAGGAGGACCUGGAAAUCAUCUUCUCUCGCUUCGGACUUUCGCCCUGUCUAUUUCAACAUACUGGCCUCCAUGACACUACUAUACAUAUUUCAUUAGAAAUAGACCUAGUCCUAACCAUUUAAAAAUAGAAAGGAGACUUGGUAGAAUAUUGGUGUAUUAUCCUAUAUUAACGUGUUCUUAUUUCUGUACAGCUGUGAGAUCAUCAGAGACUUGAAGUCAGGAGAGUCUCUGUGCUAUGCUUUCAUUGAGUUUGAAAAGAAUAUGUUUGGUGUUCACUUGAUUUCUAUAUGUACCAUGAGUUAGCAUUUAGUAAUUUUAGCCCUCUUUAAACAUUGAACAAUGAUCCACUCAUAUUCACAAGUCCAAAUCAAGACUAAGCUAAAAAGAGAUUCAUUUUGGAACCGUUUAAGUGCAGUUAUGCAGAAUACAAAUAGAGGGCACCAGUUAGUCAAAAUUGAGAGUACACAUUAAUUCACUUGAAAGGGUUUUGUUUACUGAAUUGAUAGGUUGUUUCCUUAUUCACUAUACACAUAAGGGCUCAGUUAACCCUCUUAGAUAUAAUUGAUGUCAUUUCUCUCCACAGGAGGGGGACUGUGAAAAGGCCUUCUUCAAGAUGGACAACGUGCUCAUAGAUGACCGACUCGUACAUGUGGACUUCAGCCAGUCUGUCUCAAAGAUUAAAUGGAAAGGCAAAGGUGGGAAGUAUAUGAAGGAUGACUUCAAGGCCUAUGAAAAAUAAGUGGGAUACAAAUGAGCUCUUAAGGAUAAAGUCAAACCCAAGCCAGACUCCAAGUACGACCUGCUUUUAGAGGAAGAAGGAACAAGCCAUUGGCAUGCUGAGAAGAAACACAAAGACAAGAAGCACAAUCACUCAGACAACAAGGACACCAGGAAGUCCAAGAAAUCCAAGUGGGACAGGGAGGAACCCCGGUGGGAGAAAAAGACAGACUGGCAGCAUUCUCACUCCAGGGAAAGAGACGACGGCGAUGACCACCAUAAGCACAGCAUGUCCCAUGAAAAGCACCGCCCGGAGGGCCUUGACAAGGGCCACAGGGAGAGUAGCCGUAGUCACUCACCCAAGAAGUCUAAAGACAAGGAGAGGAGCAGACACCGAUGAUGAGAGAGGAAUGGGAUUGCGGUCCGUUCCAUUUCAACUUCCAUCAAUUAUGGAUUUGGAAAUUCCUCUUUAAAAAUAAAUGUCCGUUCUUUUCAUGAAUUUACUAAAUUUAAAUGGAAUUGGUCCUCCCAAAUACCUGCCUCUGUGGCCCCUACUACCCUACCACGACCACCCAUGUCUGGGAGAGCAGAACCAGGGACUCAUCAUGACUAAAACCUCAGCAGUUAGUAAGGUUGUGUAAGUAUAUUUGUUUUUUAGUUUGACUUAUACCUACCCCACCUCUCUUUCUCUGUUCAUCAAAAAGGGGGGUGAAUUAUUUUUUCCCCCCCAUGUUUGUCUUUGACCUUUUACUGUAGUUUCUUACAGAUUUUAUAGAGUAAAUAAAUUAAGUGGGCAUGGAAAACAUGAGUUGUGUUUCUGAGUGAGUGCACUGCAAGGGAAUUCCCUGUGUAACCCUCUCCACGAGGUCGGCCAGUGUGAUAUCACUGAAAUAGCAUGAUAUCUCACCUUCCACCUCGCUGCGUGAAAACAAGUGGGAGUAAGCUAUGCUAGCUGAAAGUUGUGUGGGCUACAUCUCUAAAUGAGGGAUCCUCUUUUGGCGACAGUUUUAAAUGUUUUGGGUCUGUGUAUCUUGGCAGUACUGUCAGAAAGGGUAUCAGUUAGCCCAACCUGAAUCCUGUGUUGGAAGUAUAUUGGGAUGUGAGGGGAAAACCAAAAGAGAGCUAGGCUAUAUUUAAUUCGAUACAGUCCUGACCAAAAGUGUUCAGAAUAAUGUUUUCAGCCUUGGCAGUCAUAGAAGAAUAGCACAGUGAGGGUUAGUGUGUGUGCAGCUAGCGAACAGUCGUUGAGUUUUCCACAGGGCCUCUCCUUGUGCAAUGCUGUGGGCCACCACUUCUAGCCCCCUCUGAGUUCCCUGAAUUAAAGCAAGAGAGACCCAAAUCAUUUCACAUUUGGUUGUUUCUCAGAAUGAGAUGCCAUUUUGAAGCUUCCCAAAAUGGGUUGUUUUUAACUUGUACUGAGUGUGGGGGUGGGGUGGUGGUGGAACCAGAUGGCUGUUGGAGGGAAGCCGGUGAGGUUUAGCGUGGUUCAAGUUGUAAAAAGACUGCAGAUAGACAGAGGUAUGUUUUGUUUUCCACCCCCAUAUCUAACCACUGUCAGACUUCCCCAACAGCCCACAGUACCUGAGUGAGAGCAAAUUGCACUUGACAAAAGGAGUGAAUAUAAUGGCACUGUAGAAAGCUAAAUCAUGAGCAGACAGUUGUAGGAUCCCACGGUCAGAAGCUGAUUCCCAUCAUUGACCAGAAUUAGGAAGAACUUGGGACCAAGGGAAGUGUACAGUCAGUCAUGCAUUUUGUUCCAGAGGCAGCCGGGUGUACAAAGUGAAAUGUCUCCCCACUGGGCACACACUGGUUGAUUCAAUGUUGUUUCAACGUAAUUUGUCAACAUAUUGUGAUGUGGAAGCAUAUGUGGAAAAUAAAUUGAAAACAGUAGUUUGAUUGGAUUUCAAAAAAAGUAAUCUCAUUUCAACCAGCAUUGUAAACACUGAAAUUAGGGUCAAACUUAACUAACAGGUUGUUACAUCAAUGUAUUUAAGUCAGUCAAUCUAAUUCCAACGUAAUCAUCAGAACUAUGUAUACAUUGAAAUUGUGUUAAAUACCACAAAUAAACGUUAAUCAUUUUCAUACUAUAUUGGGUGGUUGAAAUGGUUGAAUUUCA